RNAcentral lists this ribosomal RNA (603 nucleotides) under uncultured Pantoea sp. RNAcentral's name for it is "bacterial SSU rRNA". It matches the Rfam family "Bacterial small subunit ribosomal RNA", at positions 897 to 1500 of the family's 1533-position model. Lineage: Bacteria; Pseudomonadati; Pseudomonadota; Gammaproteobacteria; Enterobacterales; Erwiniaceae. The record is from RNAcentral.
AAACUCAAAUGAAUUGACGGGGGCCCGCACAAGCGGUGGAGCAUGUGGUUUAAUUCGAUGCAACGCGAAGAACCUUACCUGGCCUUGACAUCCAGAGAACUUAGCAGAGAUGCUUUGGUGCCUUCGGGAACUCUGAGACAGGUGCUGCAUGGCUGUCGUCAGCUCGUGUUGUGAAAUGUUGGGUUAAGUCCCGCAACGAGCGCAACCCUUAUCCUUUGUUGCCAGCGGCUCGGCCGGGAACUCAAAGGAGACUGCCGGUGAUAAACCGGAGGAAGGUGGGGAUGACGUCAAGUCAUCAUGGCCCUUACGGCCAGGGCUACACACGUGCUACAAUGGCGCAUACAAAGAGAAGCGACCUCGCGAGAGCAAGCGGACCUCAUAAAGUGCGUCGUAGUCCGGAUUGGAGUCUGCAACUCGACUCCAUGAAGUCGGAAUCGCUAGUAAUCGUAGAUCAGAAUGCUACGGUGAAUACGUUCCCGGGCCUUGUACACACCGCCCGUCACACCAUGGGAGUGGGUUGCAAAAGAAGUAGGUAGCUUAACCUUCGGGAGGGCGCUUACCACUUUGUGAUUCAUGACUGGGGUGAAGUCGUAACAAGGUAGC